Molecule: unclassified non-coding RNA, 200 nt
Filed under: soil metagenome
Description: partial internal transcribed spacer 1
Source: RNAcentral
CCGAGUUUACAACUCCCAAACCCAAUGUGAACGUUACCAAACUGUUGCCUCGGCGGGAUCUCUGCCCCGGGUGCGUCGCAGCCCCGGACCAAGGCGCCCGCCGGAGGACCAACCAAAACUCUUAUUGUAUACCCCCUCGCGGGUUUUUUACUAUCUGAGCCAUCUCGGCGCCCCUCGUGGGCGUUUUCGAAAAUGAAUCA